UUCAAUGGCGGUUCAGACUGGGGAGGCUUCGGCCUCGCCGGUUGGGUAUUUUCCGGUAGUGCAAACCCUGUCUGGAUCGCCACCAUC
Xenorhabdus nematophila ATCC 19061 is the source of this 87-nucleotide non-coding RNA. Lineage: Bacteria; Pseudomonadati; Pseudomonadota; Gammaproteobacteria; Enterobacterales; Morganellaceae. The record is from Rfam.